This 247-nucleotide ribosomal RNA is filed under the name uncultured bacterium. Its description in RNAcentral is "partial 16S ribosomal RNA". It matches the Rfam family "Bacterial small subunit ribosomal RNA", at positions 523 to 769 of the family's 1533-position model. The record is from RNAcentral.
AUACGGAGGAUGCGAGCGUUAUCCGGAUUUAUUGGGUUUAAAGGGUGCGUAGGCGGGAUUAUAAGUCAGCGGUGAAAUUUUCCGGCUCAACCGGGAUACUGCCGUUGAUACUGUAAGGCUAGGAUAUGGUUGCUGUGGGUGGAAUGUGUGGUGUAGCGGUGAAAUGCUUAGAGAUCACACAGAAUAUCGAUUGCGAAGGCAGCUCACAAAGCCAUUAUUGACGCUGAGGCACGAAAGUGUGGGGAUC